Molecule: ribosomal RNA, 227 nt
Filed under: uncultured bacterium
Lineage: Bacteria
Description: partial 16S ribosomal RNA
Rfam family: Bacterial small subunit ribosomal RNA
Source: RNAcentral
UGAGUAACACGUAUCCAACCUGCCGUCUACUCUUGGCCAGCCUUCUGAAAGGAAGAUUAAUCCAGGAUGGCAUCAUGAGUUCACAUGUCCGCAUGAUUAAAGGUAUUUUCCGUAGACGAUGGGGAUGCGUUCCAUUAGAUAGUAGGCGGGUAACGGCCCACCUAGUCUUCGAUGGAUAGGGGUUCUGAGAGGAAGGUCCCCCACAUUGGAACUGAGACACGGUCCAA